UUGGUUUUAGCCUCUUUUGGGAGG
This 24-nucleotide non-coding RNA is filed under the name Arabidopsis thaliana (thale cress). Lineage: Eukaryota; Viridiplantae; Streptophyta; Magnoliopsida; Brassicales; Brassicaceae. The record is from RNAcentral.